RNAcentral lists this non-coding RNA (24 nucleotides) under Arabidopsis thaliana (thale cress). The record is from RNAcentral. Lineage: Eukaryota; Viridiplantae; Streptophyta; Magnoliopsida; Brassicales; Brassicaceae.
AGGGUACUUCAGCGCUGCGAGGAC